UUUUAUUUUACUUUUCAUAUUUUUACUCAAUUUCCAGUGGAGACAAAAGGAAAAUGAGAAGAAGUUAGAGCUAAGGAAGGAAGCUGACGUUUCUUUUUUAUUAUGUAUAUAAAGAGAUAACCAAAGCAAAAGCUUAUGUCCCUUUUUUUUUUUUUCGGCAACUGAGAAAUCGUAGAUUUCUCAAGUGUUGUUUCUACUGUUAUUGUUGUUUA
RNAcentral lists this unclassified non-coding RNA (212 nucleotides) under Hevea brasiliensis (rubber tree). Lineage: Eukaryota; Viridiplantae; Streptophyta; Magnoliopsida; Malpighiales; Euphorbiaceae. The record is from RNAcentral.